This 328-nucleotide long non-coding RNA is filed under the name Lathyrus oleraceus (garden pea). RNAcentral's name for it is "Pisum sativum (pea) long non-coding RNA (PSAT_LNC036273)". The record is from RNAcentral. Lineage: Eukaryota; Viridiplantae; Streptophyta; Magnoliopsida; Fabales; Fabaceae.
AUUAAUGAACGGCAAUGGCAUUUGUUGAAAUUAAUGGAAGAUAAAAGGUUAAUUUCACAAAAUGAGAUGUAUAUAAGAACCCAAGCACAACCUAUUAUGGCUAUGGAAGAUAAGGAAUUAAAUGUUGCAUUAAUGAACGGCAAUGGCAUUUGUUGAAAUUAAUGGAAGAUAAAAGGUUAAUUUCACAAAAUGAGAUGUAUAUAAGAACCCAAGCACAACCUAUUGAAACCACACAACAAAACAAACCAAAAAACAGUAACUUUACCUUCCUUGGAGUAACAUAACAGCAACGUAACUCAAAAGAAUGUCUUUGGUAACCGAAGAAAUG